AUGGGAAAUAUUGAAACCGUCCUUUCCAGUAGUAUCGCUGCUGUAUUUUUUGCAGCUUUUGUUGUUGCUGGAACUAUGUGGGGGUUUGUUUAGAGCGGGCUCAAUGGACAAUGGAGAUGGAAUAGCGGUUGGUUGGUUAGGGCAUCCUAUCUUUAGAGACAAAGAGGGGCGUGAACUUUUUAUGGUGUUUUUCGUAGCAGUCCAAGGGGUUGGUUUACUUUUGGACAUGCUUCGUUUGCUCUGCUCUUCUUUUUCGGGCACAUUUGGCAUGGUGCUAGAACCUUGUUCAGAGAUGUUUUUGCUGGUAUUGAUCCAGAUUUGGAUGCGCAAGUAGAAUUUGGAGCAUUCCAAAAACUUGGAGAUCCAACUACAAAAAAACAGGGAGUCUGA
Non-coding RNA from Vicia faba (fava bean), 390 nucleotides. NCBI's taxonomy places the organism in Eukaryota, Viridiplantae, Streptophyta, Magnoliopsida, Fabales, Fabaceae. The record is from the annotation of a GenBank genome assembly.